UACGUAGGCAGCGAGCGUUGUUCGGAAUUACUGGGCGUAAAGAGUGUGUAGGCGGUGCUCUAAGUUCGGUGUGAAAUCUCCUGGCUUAACUGGGAGCUUGCAGGCGAAACUGCCGUGCUGGAGUGUGGGAGAGGCGAGUGGAAUUCCUGGUGUAGCGGUGAAAUGCGCAGAUAUCAGGAGGAACACCAAUUGCGAAGGCAGCUCGCUGGGACGUUACUGACGCUGAGACGCGAAAGCGUGGAGAGCAAACAGG
RNAcentral lists this ribosomal RNA (253 nucleotides) under uncultured bacterium. RNAcentral describes it as "partial 16S ribosomal RNA". It matches the Rfam family "Bacterial small subunit ribosomal RNA", at positions 524 to 776 of the family's 1533-position model. The record is from RNAcentral.